This is a long non-coding RNA of Chelonia mydas (Green sea turtle), 98 nucleotides long. RefSeq lists it as uncharacterized. NCBI's taxonomy places the organism in Eukaryota, Metazoa, Chordata, Testudines, Cheloniidae. The transcript has 3 exons. The record is from RefSeq and is a predicted model, not a curated record.
GGCGCAUCAGGCAGUGCUCCGUGUCUUCAGCAGCACUUCAGCAUCGGGUCCUUCACUUGCUCUGGUCUUUGGCGGCAUUGCAGGACCCCAGCAGCAUG